RNAcentral lists this unclassified non-coding RNA (202 nucleotides) under Hevea brasiliensis (rubber tree). The record is from RNAcentral. Lineage: Eukaryota; Viridiplantae; Streptophyta; Magnoliopsida; Malpighiales; Euphorbiaceae.
UAUAGCAAACCUUGUCCUGGAGCUUCUUUGAUGUGCUUGAGAAUACGAAUAACUUCUUCCCAAUGACUACUACAUAGAGCCUGGAGAUAUUGACUAAUGACACUGACAACAAAGAAAAUAUCUACCUUGUGAUUGUGAGAUAGUUGAGCUUAUCAACUAGCCUUUGGUAUCUAUCAAUGUCUUCCAAUGGCUGUCCUAUGUA